GCUACCAUGCAGUCGAGCGGUACAUUUCAAAGCUUGCUUUUGAAGAUGACGAGCGGCGGCACGGGUGAGUAAUGCCUGGGAAUUUGCCCAUUUGUGGGGGAUAACAGUUGGAAACGACUGCUAAUACCGCAUACGCCCUACGGGGGAAAGCAGGGGACCUUCGGGCCUUGCGCUGAUGGAUAAGCCCAGGUGGGAUUAGCUAGUAGGUGAGGUAAAGGCUCACCUAGGCGACGAUCCCUAGCUGGUCUGAGAGGAUGAUCAGCCACACUGGGACUGAGACACGGCCCAGACUCCUACGGGAGGCAGCAGUGGGGAAUAUUGCACAAUGGGGGAAACCCUGAUGCAGCCAUGCCGCGUGUGUGAAGAAGGCCUUCGGGUUGUAAAGCACUUUCAGCGAGGAGGAAAGGGUGUAAGUUAAUACCUUACAUCUGUGACGUUACUCGCAGAAGAAGCACCGGCUAACUCCGUGCCAGCAGCCGCGGUAAUACGGAGGGUGCGAGCGUUAAUCGGAAUUACUGGGCGUAAAGCGUGCGCAGGCGGUUUGUUAAGCGAGAUGUGAAAGCCCCGGGCUCAACCUGGGAACCGCAUUUCGAACUGGCAAACUAGAGUCUUGUAGAGGGGGGUAGAAUUCCAGGUGUAGCGGUGAAAUGCGUAGAGAUCUGGAGGAAUACCGGUGGCGAAGGCGGCCCCCUGGACAAAGACUGACGCUCAGCACGAAAGCGGUGGGGGAGCAAACAGGAUUAGAUACCCUGUAGUCCACCGCCGUAACGAUGUCUACUCGAGUUUGUGUUCUUGAACACUGGCCUUCUCAGCUACGCAUUAGUAAGAACCCGCCUGGGG
RNAcentral lists this ribosomal RNA (840 nucleotides) under uncultured bacterium. RNAcentral describes it as "bacterial SSU rRNA". It matches the Rfam family "Bacterial small subunit ribosomal RNA", at positions 48 to 878 of the family's 1533-position model. The record is from RNAcentral.